AGCGUGGUAGCUUAAUUGGAAGAGCAUUGGCCUGGAAAGCCAAAGGUCCCGAGUGAGAUCCCUGGCUGCGUCG
Non-coding RNA from Exocentrus adspersus, 73 nucleotides. NCBI's taxonomy places the organism in Eukaryota, Metazoa, Arthropoda, Insecta, Coleoptera, Cerambycidae. The record is from the annotation of a GenBank genome assembly.